AUAGCAUAGCAGAUAGCGCACUGGUCUGUAAUACCAGAGGGCCCGGGUUUGAUCCUGGU
This 59-nucleotide transfer RNA is filed under the name Mycetomoellerius zeteki. Its description in RNAcentral is "Trachymyrmex zeteki tRNA". Lineage: Eukaryota; Metazoa; Arthropoda; Insecta; Hymenoptera; Formicidae. The record is from Rfam by way of RNAcentral.